UGGUGUGGUACUUUAAGUGAAAAGGUUAAGUUUGCAACUUAAAAUUGAGAUUGGUUUAUAUUCUUCUAUGCUAA
RNAcentral lists this transfer RNA (74 nucleotides) under Meretrix lyrata. Its description in RNAcentral is "tRNA-Ala". The record is from RNAcentral. Lineage: Eukaryota; Metazoa; Mollusca; Bivalvia; Venerida; Veneridae.